GACGAACGCUGGCGGCGUGCCUAAUACAUGCAAGUCGAGCGAAGUUUUUCUGGUGCUUGCACUAGAAAAACUUAGCGGCGAACGGGUGAGUAACACGUAAAGAACCUGCCUCAUAGACUGGGACAACUAUUGGAAACGAUAGCUAAUACCGGAUAACAGUAUUUCUCGCAUGAGAGAUAUUUAAAAGUUGGUUAUGCUAACACUAUGAGAUGGCUUUGCGGUGCAUUAGCUAGUUGGCGGGGUAAAGGCCCACCAAGGCGACGAUGCAUAGCCGACCUGAGAGGGUGAUCGGCCACACUGGGACUGAGACACGGCCCAGACUCCUACGGGAGGCAGCAGUAGGGAAUCUUCCGCAAUGGGCGAAAGCCUGACGGAGCAACGCCGCGUGAGUGAAGAAGGAUUUCGGUUCGUAAAGCUCUGUUGUUAGGGAAGAAUGGAUAUGUAGUAACUAUACAUGUAAGAGACGGUACCUAACCAGAAAGCCGCGGCUAACUACGUG
RNAcentral lists this ribosomal RNA (499 nucleotides) under uncultured bacterium. RNAcentral's name for it is "partial 16S ribosomal RNA". It matches the Rfam family "Bacterial small subunit ribosomal RNA", at positions 28 to 507 of the family's 1533-position model. The record is from RNAcentral.